AUACGGAGGAUGCAAGCGUUAUCCGGAUUUAUUGGGUUUAAAGGGUGCGUAGGCGGUUUGCUAAGCGGGAGGUGAAAUGCCGGCGCUCAACGUCGGAAGUGCCUCCCGAACUGGUGGACUGGAAUGACUCUGCCGUGGGAGGAAUGUGUAGUGUAGCGGUGAAAUGCUUAGAGAUUACACAGAACACCGAUUGCGAAGGCAUCUCACGAAGGGUUGAUUGACGCUGAGGCACGAAAGCGUGGGAAUCAGACAGGAUUAGAUACCCUGGUAGUCCACGCAGUAAACGAUGAUGGCUAACCGCUGGUUUAUUCGGAUCAGUGGCCAAGCGAAAGCGAUAAGCCAUCCACCUGGGGAGUACGACCGCAAGGUUGAAACGCAAAUGAAUUGGCGGGG
RNAcentral lists this ribosomal RNA (393 nucleotides) under uncultured bacterium. Its description in RNAcentral is "partial 16S ribosomal RNA". It matches the Rfam family "Bacterial small subunit ribosomal RNA", at positions 523 to 918 of the family's 1533-position model. The record is from RNAcentral.